GAUGAAGAACGUAGCGAAAUGCGAUAAGUAAUGUGAAUUGCAGAAUUCAGUGAAUCAUCGAAUCUUUGAACGCACAUUGCGCCCGCCGGUAUUCUGGCGGGCAUGCCUGUUCGAGCGUCAUUUCAACCAUCAAGCCCCCGGCUUGUGUUGGGGACCUGCGGCUGCCGCAGGCCCUGAAAACCAGUGGCGGGCUCGCUGUCACACCGAGCGUAGUAGAUUUUCAUCUCGCUCAGGGCGUGCUGCGGGUUCCGGCCGUAAAAAGCCUUAUUUACCCAAGGUUGACCUCGGAUCAGGUAGGAAGACCCGCUGAACUUAAGCAUAUCAAUAAGCGGAGGA
RNAcentral lists this unclassified non-coding RNA (336 nucleotides) under soil metagenome. RNAcentral's name for it is "partial contains 5.8S ribosomal RNA, internal transcribed spacer 2, and large subunit ribosomal RNA". The stretch from base 1 to 120 matches the Rfam family "5.8S ribosomal RNA", at positions 35 to 154 of the family's 154-position model. The record is from RNAcentral.